AAGGAUUCCACGCCUUUGCCAACAAGCACUGUAGCAAAUUGGAAUUUCUCUCAUUAAUUUCAAUGGCUUUGUUUCAAGUCAUUAGUGAUGAGAGGACUUACCGUAUCUUCAAUUAAGACACACGUCACUUCAGACAUUGCGAUCUGGAUAAUGUGUUUUCUGAGAUCCUACCUGCAGAAUUGCCUUCAGCUCUGGGUUCCCAGCACAAGAAGGACAUGAACCUAUUGGAGUGGGUCCAGAAGAGGGCAGUGAGGAUCGUCAGAGGGCUGGAGCCCUUCUGAUGAUCCUCUCCUUCUUUGAGGAGUCAAAUGAAGGGAGCUGGGCUUGUACAGCCUGGAGAAGAGAAGGCUCCAGGGAGAACUCAUUGCAGCCUUCCAGUACUUCAAGAGGGCCUACAAGAAAAGAUGGGGAGGGACUCUUUACUGGGGAAUGUGGUGAUAGGACAAGAGGGGAGAUUUAGGUUUGAUAUAUGAAAUUCUUCUCUAUGACAGUGGUAAGGCAGAGCAACAGGCUGCUCAAAGAAGCUGUGGAUGCCCCAGCUCCAGAGGCAUUCAAGGCCAGGUUGGAUGGGGCCCUGAGCAGCCUGAUAGGGUGGGUGGCAGUCCUGCCCACAGCAGGGGGAGUUGAAACUGAAUGAUCUUAAGAUGUCUUCCAACCCAAGCCAUUGUAUGAUUCUGUGUCUGAUUUGAAAAUGUCAACAUUCUGGCAGUUUAAAACCUUUCUCCCAUACACUCAAAAUAUUUUCCAAUUUGAAAACCCUGUCCAGUAUUUGUGUUUCCAAAACAAUUCAUAUUUUGUGAAAAGAGCCAUUUUUAAAAUAAAAUAAUUUUU
RNAcentral lists this long non-coding RNA (831 nucleotides) under Gallus gallus (chicken). Its description in RNAcentral is "lncRNA (ENSGALG00010008648.1)". The record is from RNAcentral. Lineage: Eukaryota; Metazoa; Chordata; Aves; Galliformes; Phasianidae.